Long non-coding RNA from Suricata suricatta (meerkat), 4126 nucleotides. RefSeq lists it as uncharacterized. The record is from RefSeq and is a predicted model, not a curated record. Lineage: Eukaryota; Metazoa; Chordata; Mammalia; Carnivora; Herpestidae. The transcript is spliced from 8 exons.
AUGGGGGGUGGGGGCUCAGAGCCCAGGGCACUGCCAUCCUCCCGGGGCAGAUGGCCGGCAGCGCUGGCCUUGCUCCACCCUGAGGCCUGUGUUUACCCGCCUGCCAGGCCCUGCACCGUGCUGCUCCUGGGCCCCGCUGUGGCCGCAGCUGGGAUCGAGGCAGGAAGCACACGGCAGGGGCACCUGGAUGCAGCUAGGUAGCUGCGUGCGUGCGUCGUCAUGACAGCAGGAGCCACGUGGGGCACAGUGCUGCGCAUCUCUCGCUGCUGUGCGGUCUCGGUCCUCGGUCCUCACCGCAACACCACACCACGGAGGCCACCACCCCACACGGUGGCCCCAGUGGUGCACACCUGCUCUCCUGCCUGUACGGAGCUGCAUUCCUCACCUUACUGGGCCGCUGGGCCAGCGGGGAGCAGGAACAACUCGUCCUCCAGCUGACCGCCACCUUGUGGACACCAGACCAGGUCCAGGGAGACCAGACACUGUGCUGAAAUUAGCUGCGCUAGCAGGGCUGCUGGUGAGACCCAACAGGCUGGUUGGUGGCCUAGAAACGGCUGCCACAGGCCCCAUUGCUGGGCUCCGCCAUGUGGGCGAGCCGGCGGUGUAGGCUGGGCCUCUGGAGGACGUCACAGGCUUGGUGAGACAGCAGCAGGAAGCAGAGACUGCCCCACAGGGACCUGGCGACUUGUUUCCUGCCCCGGGAGGGACUGGCAGUGGCAAAUACCAGGACUGGAAAACCAGCACGGAAGCCUCUUGUUUUACCCUGUUAAAGAGAGCUCGUAGGACAGGAGAGCGGACGUCACCUCUGCGAGCCCGGAAGAUCUUGCCAUGACACCCAUGUGGCCUGGAAAACAGAAAGCUGGGGACCCCUCGUGGUGGACGGAGUCCGGCAGCCGCUGCGACACGCCUCGCCGCUAGGUGGAGCCGCAGGUGCACAAUCGGGUUUGCCUCCCAGCCAGCCGCUUUUGAGCAAAGCCGGGUCCUGACAGUCUGCUCCCUUCUGCUACCAUGUGCGGCGGUGUUUUGUCUUCCUGGUGCAGGAAAAGAAGACGGCUCCGCACGGAAGCUACGGUUCCAUUUGUCCAGAGGAGGGAGAGCUCGUCGGUGGCAAGCCUGCAGGGACAGACUGUAAGGGUCACAGGCUGCAGAGGGCGCGGGGGCCACGGAGCUGGUGCCGUUCACGUGGCUGUCGUUUUCUUCAAGGUACAUUCUGUGGGAUUCAGCAGAGGCCUCGCGCAGCCCAACAGCCUCAGCCUCCACGUCCCGGGUCUUAAAUUAACCGUGUGGGAGGCGCCGCCUGUCGCAGAGCAGUGUGCCCGCCGUGCAGCCACGUGCCUUCCCCCGCAUCCUGACCAGAACAUUCCCCUUGCGCGUGCGGGCAGCCCGCCAGCCGGGCAUGCCAGGGUCCGCAGGGCCGGGCAGACGGAAGCCGGCGUUCCGAGGCACGAGAGCCUGGCUAGUCUCUCCGGCCUCUUUCUACGUGGCCAGUGCUGGCCUGGGCACCGCCUGAGGUCUUCCUCCCACCCGUGCCCUGAGUUUUCACGUCGUCCCAAAGGUGCACCCUGGGCAGCUGAAAGCAGCUUAAUGGACAGUUUGACUGGAUUGUUGGUGGUUUCUUAUGAUGAUAUUACCCAAAUCCCUUGGAACACUUUCGGGACUGUGGAUUCAGGGGACACCAGUGGAGACCCAGAGGCCGUGGGGCCUGGACUAGGGGACCUGGCAAGUGAGAUGUGAUCUGCCUGCUGCCCCGCGGACUCCGGACCGGACCUCAGAGCCGCCGUCGGGUCACGGUGGCCACCCGCACCACCGUGCCGGUCCCCCUGGGCCCGCGGCGUCCGCGCAUGGCUUUGUCUGUUGCUUGUGGCUUGCCGUUGGUGCCGGGACAGAGAGGAGGAGCCGGGGUGCCUGCCACGUGCCGCCGCGGCCCCUGCGCCCCGGAAGUGGGGCUGGCCUGGAGCGAGGGCCUUCGGGGCAGAGACCCACCCGACGGGAAGACUUGGCACAGGCGGCGAGCCAGCAGGAGGUGCUACUGGAAAACUAAGAGCUGAGGGGCACCUGGCCGGCUCAGUCGGAGGACCUGGCGGCUCUUGAUCUCCGGGUUGUGAGUUCCAGCCCCACGUUGGGUACAGAGAUUAUUUAACAAAACCUUAAAAAAAAAGUUGAAUCUGUAGCUCACAUGGGAUUUCUUUUGGAGGGAGCCGUGCCACAGCCCACCUUCUCGGAGUACACACGUGCACGCGUAGGUGCGCACACCACACACACACACUCCCCCUGAGGACACACGCACACGUGGAGUGGUGGUGCGUGCACGUACACAACUGAGGGCACAUACUAUCACACACAUAUGUGUCACACAUGAAUAGGAAGCUGCGGGUAGUACACGUGCGCACACGCUCUCACAGACACACGCACGUGCUGUAGCUGUGCAUGCAGGUGCAAACACAACACACUGCACAGUGCGUGUGCGCACACGACCACACACACGUGCACACACACGGGGCCCGCUCGGGACGUGCAGGGGCAGCCGGGGCCUCAGGGCUCCUGGAGCGGUGAGGAGUAACAGGCCCAAGGUCACAGCAGGGAAGAUGGGGCCAUCUCCGGUCCUGAAUGUGUCAGUCACAUGUCCUGAGGAUGCUGCCCUGCAGGGUGUGCGACGUGUGUGGGGACCUGGGACCUUCUGGCGGGAAGGGUGUCAGACACAGCAGCCCCUCUGCACCCCCAGCUCUCCGGCCGCCACUUGCCCGUGAUUCUAAAUGAAUGGGUUUUUCAGCUUCUUCUUUAACAAUGAGAUGAAAUGCACAUGAGAUUAACCACUUAGUAUUCAACAGUGCAGCGGCAUUUACCACAAUCACCGUGUUGUGCGCUCAGCACCUCUGUCUCGGUCCCGAACAUUCCCAUCACCUGCUCCCAAAAGAAACUCUGUACCCAGUAGUGGUCAUUCCCUGCCUGCUGUGCUCUCGGUCUCCUCGGACUUGCCUGCUCCAGACGUGCCGUGUGAGUGGGGUCACGCCUUGUGGCCUGUGCCUGGCUUCUCCCCCAGCGGCACCUGUGUGAGCUUUGUCGGUGCCGCAGGACGUGUCCGGGCCUCCUCCUUGGGCAGCCUUCCCACGUGUGGACGGGGCACUUCCUUCAUGGGGCCGUCUGUGGACCAGCCGGUGGGUCGCCUCCGCCUUCUGCCCGUGUGCUGCCGUGGUGUGGAGCUGAGCCCAGACCUGCCGCCAUUCCUGCCGGGUCUGCGCCCUCGAGGGGCGGGGCCGCCUUCAGGCCGGGCUCUGGCUCCUCUCCCACGGGUCCCUCAGGCCCUGGGAGGAGCCCUGAGUUGCUUCCAGCCCCGAAUGCCCGCUGUAGCUCGCUGGAGGCUGCAGGUCCCCUCGAGGGGGUCUAGCAGCCUCUCGGAGGGUCCUCCAGGCUGAAGGCCCAGGAGCUGCCGGAAGCUCUCACCACUGAGAUCUGCAAGGGACCUCUCGGAAGAGGAACCACAGCAUUUUCCUUCGGAGGCUUCUUUCCAGAGGCGCGACGUCCUCCAGAGAAUGCAGAAAAGCAUGGGUCGGGCUCCAGAGAAAAUACACACAAAGAAGAGAAGCACAUUUGGAUCUCACCAGGCAGCUUUCGGGGUCUUCCUACUCUCCUGGGGCUGCCCUAACCAAGCCACAGGCUCAGGGCUCAAACGGCAGGCAUCCCUUUCAGGCUGGAGGCCGCAAGCCCUAAACUGAGGUGUCGCGGGGCCGUGCUGCUUCUGGGGGGGGCACUCCCUGUGCCUCCAGCCUCCAGUGAUGCCAGACAUCCUCGGUGUCCCUUGGUUGGUGGACAUGUCACCCCUCUCUGCAUCCAGGGGCACACGGUAUCUCCUGGUAAGGACAGUGUGCUGUUGGUGUGGGACUCACUGACUUCAGGUGACCGACCCCCUUUUACCGAUGGCGCCUGCAGUGGCCCUGUCUCCGGGUAAGGCCCCAUUCUGAGAUCACUAGGGUCAGGACUGAGGCAUAUCAUUUUGUGGGAUGGUUCAACCUCGUGCAGGUCGUGGCUGUGCCCUCUUCUGUGUUACAGUAUUGAAAAACCAUUUACAUUAAAAAAAAUUAACUUUUAUGGGGGGCCUGGGUGGCUCAAUUGGUUAAGUGUGCGACUU